AGUGAACGCUGGCGGUAGGCCUAACACAUGCAAGUCGAACGGCAGCACAGUAAGAGCUUGCUCUUACGGGUGGCGAGUGGCGGACGGGUGAGGAAUACAUCGGAAUCUACUUUUUCGUGGGGGGUAACGUAGGGCCACUUACGCUAAUACCGCAUACGACCUACGGGUGAAAGCAGGGGAUCUUCGGACCUUGCGCGAUUGAAUGAGCCGAUGUCGGAUUAGCUAGUUGGCGGGGUAAAGGCCCACCAAGGCGACGAUCCGUAGCUGGUCUGAGAGGAUGAUCAGCCACACUGGAACUGAGACACGGUCCAGACUCCUACGGGAGGCAGCAGUGGGGAAUAUUGGACAAAGGGCGCAAGCCUGAUCCAGCCAUACCGCGUGGGUGAAGAAGGCCUUCGGGUUGUAAAGCCCUUUUGUUGGGAAAGAAAAGCAGCAGGUUAAUACCCCGCUGUUCUGACGGUACCCAAAGAAUAAGCACCGGCUAACUUCGUG
RNAcentral lists this ribosomal RNA (492 nucleotides) under uncultured bacterium. RNAcentral's name for it is "partial 16S ribosomal RNA". It matches the Rfam family "Bacterial small subunit ribosomal RNA", at positions 29 to 507 of the family's 1533-position model. The record is from RNAcentral.